GGUGCAUGGUUGUCGUCAGCUCGUGUCGUGAGAUGUUCGGGUUAAGUCCCGCAACGAGCGCAACCCUCGACCUUAGUUGCCAGCAUUCAGUUGGGCACUCUAAGGUGACUGCCGGCUAAAAGUCGGAGGAAGGUGGGGAUGACGUCAAAUCAUCAUGCCCCUUAUGACCUGGGCUACACACGUGCUACAAUGGGCGGUACAAAGGGUCGCGAACCCGCGAGGGGGAGCCAAUCCCCAAAAAGCCGCUCUCAGUUCGGAUUGCAGGCUGCAACUCGCCUGCAUGAAGCCGGAAUCGCUAGUAAUCGCGGAUCAGCAUGCCGCGGUGAAUACGUUCCCGGGCCUU
RNAcentral lists this ribosomal RNA (343 nucleotides) under uncultured Anoxybacillus sp. RNAcentral describes it as "bacterial SSU rRNA". It matches the Rfam family "Bacterial small subunit ribosomal RNA", at positions 1040 to 1382 of the family's 1533-position model. Lineage: Bacteria; Bacillati; Bacillota; Bacilli; Caryophanales; Anoxybacillaceae. The record is from RNAcentral.